Molecule: ribosomal RNA, 498 nt
Filed under: uncultured bacterium
Lineage: Bacteria
Description: partial 16S ribosomal RNA
Rfam family: Bacterial small subunit ribosomal RNA
Source: RNAcentral
AUUGAACGCUGGCGGCAUGCUUUACACAUGCAAGUCGAACGGCAGCGCGGGGCAACCUGGCGGCGAGUGGCGAACGGGUGAGUAAUACAUCGGAACGUACCCAGAAGUGGGGGAUAACGUAGCGAAAGUUACGCUAAUACCGCAUACGUUCUACGGAAGAAAGUGGGGGACCUUCGGGCCUCAUGCUUUUGGAGCGGCCGAUGUCUGAUUAGCUAGUUGGUGAGGUAAAGGCUCACUAAGGCGACGAGCAGUAGCUGGUCUGAGAGGACGACCAGCCAAACUGGGACUGAGAAACGGCCCAGACUCCUAAGGGAGGCAGCAGUGGGGAAUUUUGGACAAUGAGCGCAAGCCUGAUCCAGCAAUGCUGCGUGAGUGAAGAAGGCCUUCGGGUUGUAAAGCUCUUUUGUCAGGGAAGAAACGGCUGAGGAUAAUACGUAUCAACUGUGACGUUACUCGCAGAAGAAGCACCGGCUAACUCCGUGCCAGCAGCCGCCGUAA